GACGAACGCUGGCGGCGUGCUUAACACAUGCAAGUCGAACGGAAAGGCCCUGCUUUUGUGGGGUGCUCGAGUGGCGAACGGGUGAGUAACACGUGAGUAACCUGCCCUUGACUUUGGGAUAACUUCAGGAAACUGGGGCUAAUACCGGAUAGGAGCUCCUGCUGCAUGGUGGGGGUUGGAAAGUUUCGGCGGUUGGGGAUGGACUCGCGGCUUAUCAGCUUGUUGGUGGGGUAGUGGCUUACCAAGGCCUUGACGGGUAGCCGGCCUGAGAGGGUGACCGGCCACAUUGGGACUGGGAUACGGCCCAGACUCCUACGGGAGGCAGCAGUGGGGAAUAUUGCACAAUGGGCGGAAGCCUGAUGCAGCAACGCCGCGUGCGGGAUGACGGCCUUCGGGUUGUAAACCGCUUUCGCCUGUGACGAAGCGUGAGUGACGGUAAUGGGUAAAGAAGCACCGGCUAACUACGU
Molecule: ribosomal RNA, 467 nt
Filed under: uncultured bacterium
Lineage: Bacteria
Description: partial 16S ribosomal RNA
Rfam family: Bacterial small subunit ribosomal RNA
Source: RNAcentral